AAAUUGAAGAGUUUGAUCAUGGCUCAGAUUGAACGCUGGCGGCAGGCCUAACACAUGCAAGUCGAACGGCAGCACAGAAGAGCUUGCUCUUUGGGUGGCGAGUGGCGGACGGGUGAGUAAUGUCUGGGGAUCUGCCCGGUAGAGGGGGAUAACCACUGGAAACGGUGGCUAAUACCGCAUAACGUCGCAAGACCAAAGAGGGGGACCUUCGGGCCUCUCACUAUCGGAUGAACCCAGAUGGGAUUAGCUAGUAGGUGGGGUAACGGCUCACCUAGGCGACGAUCCCUAGCUGGUCUGAGAGGAUGACCAGCCACACUGGAACUGAGACACGGUCCAGACUCCUACGGGAGGCAGCAGUGGGGAAUAUUGCACAAUGGGCGCAAGCCUGAUGCAGCCAUGCCGCGUGUAUGAAGAAGGCCUUCGGGUUGUAAAGUACUUUCAGCGGGGAGGAAGGGAUGAAGCUUAAUACGCUUCGUCAUUGACGUUACCCGCAGAAGAAGCACCGGCUAACUCCGUGCCAGCAGCCGCGGUAAUACGGAGGGUGCAAGCGUUAAUCGGAAUUACUGGGCGUAAAGCGCACGCAGGCGGUCUGUCAAGUCGGAUGUGAAAUCCCCGGGCUUAACCUGGGAACUGCAUUCGAAACUGGCAGGCUAGAGUCUUGUAGAGGGGGGUAGAAUUCCAGGUGUAGCGGUGAAAUGCGUAGAGAUCUGGAGGAAUACCGGUGGCGAAGGCGGCCCCCUGGACAAAGACUGACGCUCAGGUGCGAAAGCGUGGGGAGCAAACAGGAUUAGAUACCCUGGUAGUCCACGCCGUAAACGAUGUCGACUUGGAGGCUGUUCCCUUGAGGAGUGGCUUCCGGAGCUAACGCGUUAAGUCGACCGCCUGGGGAGUACGGCCGCAAGGUUAAAACUCAAAUGAAUUGACGGGGGCCCGCACAAGCGGUGGAGCAUGUGGUUUAAUUCGAUGCAACGCGAAGAACCUUACCUGGCCUUGACAUCCAGAGAACUUUCCAGAGAUGGAUUGGUGCCUUCGGGAACUCUGAGACAGGUGCUGCAUGGCUGUCGUCAGCUCGUGUUGUGAAAUGUUGGGUUAAGUCCCGCAACGAGCGCAACCCUUAUCCUUUGUUGCCAGCGAUUCGGUCGGGAACUCAAAGGAGACUGCCGGUGAUAAACCGGAGGAAGGUGGGGAUGACGUCAAGUCAUCAUGGCCCUUACGGCCAGGGCUACACACGUGCUACAAUGGCGCAUACAAAGAGAAGCGACCUCGCGAGAGCAAGCGGACCUCAUAAAGUGCGUCGUAGUCCGGAUCGGAGUCUGCAACUCGACUCCGUGAAGUCGGAAUCGCUAGUAAUCGUGGAUCAGAACGCCACGGUGAAUACGUUCCCGGGCCUUGUACACACCGCCCGUCACACCAUGGGAGUGGGUUGCAAAAGAAGUAGGUAGCUUAACCUUCGGGAGGGCGCUUACCACUUUGUGAUUCAUGACUGGGGUGAAGUCGUAACAAGGUAACCGUAGGGGAACCUGCGGUUGGAUCACCUCCUUA
Molecule: ribosomal RNA, 1542 nt
Filed under: Pantoea piersonii
Lineage: Bacteria; Pseudomonadati; Pseudomonadota; Gammaproteobacteria; Enterobacterales; Erwiniaceae
Description: bacterial SSU rRNA
Rfam family: Bacterial small subunit ribosomal RNA
Source: RNAcentral